GAUCCUGGCUCAGAUUGAACGCUGGCGGCAGGCCUUACACAUGCAAGUCGAACGGCAGCACGGACUUCGGUCUGGUGGCGAGUGGUGAACGGGUGAGUAAUGCAUCGGAACGUCCAUUGAGUGGGGGAUAACGUAGCGAAAGUUGCGCUAAUACCGCAUAUUCUGUGAGCAGGAAAGCAGGGGACCGCAAGGCCUUGCGCUCUUUGAGCGGCCGAUGUCAGAUUAGCUAGUUGGUGAGGUAAAGGCUUACCAAGGCGACGAUCUGUAGCGGGUCUGAGAGGAUGAUCCGCCACACUGGAACUGAGACACGGUCCAGACUCCUACGGGAGGCAGCAGUGGGGAAUUUUGGACAAUGGGGGCAACCCUGAUCCAGCCAUGCCGCGUGAGUGAAGAAGGCCUUCGGGUUGUAAAGCUCUUUCGGCCGGGAAGAAAUCGCAUGGGCCAAUACCCUGUGUGGAUGACGGUACCGGAAUAAGAAGCACCGGCUAACUACGUGCCAGCAGCCGCGGUAAUACGUAGGGUGCGAGCGUUAAUCGGAAUUACUGGGCGUAAAGCGUGCGCAGGCGGUUUUGUAAGACAGGCGUGAAAUCCCCGGGCUUAACCUGGGAACUGCGUUUGUGACUGCAAGGCUAGAGUACGGCAGAGGGGGGUGGAAUUCCACGUGUAGCAGUGAAAUGCGUAGAGAUGUGGAGGAACACCAAUGGCGAAGGCAGCCCCCUGGGUCGAUACUGACGCUCAUGCACGAAAGCGUGGGUAGCAAACAGGAUUAGAUACCCUGGUAGUCCACGCCCUAAACUAUGUCAACUAGGUGUUGGGUGGGUAAAACCAUUUAGUACCGUAGCUAACGCGUGAAGUUGACCGCCUGGGGAGUACGGCCGCAAGGUUAAAACUCAAAGGAAUUGACGGGGACCCGCACAAGCGGUGGAUGAUGUGGAUUAAUUCGAUGCAACGCGAAAAACCUUACCUACCCUUGACAUGCCAGGAACUUGCCAGAGAUGGCUUGGUGCCCGAAAGGGAGCCUGGACACAGGUGCUGCAUGGCUGUCGUCAGCUCGUGUCGUGAGAUGUUGGGUUAAGUCCCGCAACGAGCGCAACCCUUGUCGUUAAUUGCCAUCAUUUGGUUGGGCACUUUAACGAGACUGCCGGUGACAAACCGGAGGAAGGUGGGGAUGACGUCAAGUCCUCAUGGCCCUUACGUCCCGGGCUACACACGUGCUACAAUGGUCGGUACAGAGGGUCGCAAUACCGUGAGGUGGAGCUAGUCCCAAAAAACCGGCCUCAGUUCAGAUCGGAGUCUGCAACUCGACUCUGUGAAGUUGGAAUCGCUAGUAAUCGCGGAUCAGAACGCCGCGGUGAAUACGUUCCCGGGCCUUGUACACACCGCCCAGAAGAAGACC
RNAcentral lists this ribosomal RNA (1396 nucleotides) under metagenome. RNAcentral's name for it is "bacterial SSU rRNA". It matches the Rfam family "Bacterial small subunit ribosomal RNA". The record is from RNAcentral.